GCCGAGGUAGCUCAGCUGGCUAGAGCGCAGGAUUCAUACUCCUGAGGUCGAGGGUUCGAGUCCCCCUCUCGGUA
This 74-nucleotide transfer RNA is filed under the name Flavobacteriales bacterium. RNAcentral's name for it is "tRNA-Met". It matches the Rfam family "tRNA". From Rfam's summary of the family: Transfer RNA (tRNA) molecules are approximately 80 nucleotides in length. Their secondary structure includes four short double-helical elements and three loops (D, anti-codon, and T loops). The record is from RNAcentral. Lineage: Bacteria; Pseudomonadati; Bacteroidota; Flavobacteriia; Flavobacteriales.